GUGUUCCAUACACUACUACAUCACUCAAAUUGUAAAUCAGCGAAGAAAGGGGAGCAAAAGAAGAAGAAGGGGAGGAGUGUGUGUGAUGCAAGAGAGAAGAGUUUCAAAUUUCGUCGAAUUGAGAUUGAAAUCUUCUUUGUCGCAGUCAACUCUUUUCUUCGACCCACUUCUGCCUUUUUUUGUUUUUCGAUUGGAGCUCUUGACAAUUUUUAUACAUUUUU
This is a non-coding RNA of Caenorhabditis elegans, 221 nucleotides long. Lineage: Eukaryota; Metazoa; Nematoda; Chromadorea; Rhabditida; Rhabditidae. The record is from Ensembl.